Pan troglodytes (chimpanzee) is the source of this 1308-nucleotide RNA transcript. It is a transcript of the gene named lipocalin 12, with no coding region annotated. The record is from RefSeq and is a predicted model, not a curated record. NCBI's taxonomy places the organism in Eukaryota, Metazoa, Chordata, Mammalia, Primates, Hominidae. The transcript is spliced from 6 exons.
CAGGCCUGCCCUGGGCACCACCUCUCCUGCCAGUCCUGAGGAGGGAGGCAGAGGGGCACACCCCCUUGGGAGGGGCACCUGCUGGGUACGUGCAUGAAGAGGUGGGUCUCUGGGCCACCUGCCCAUGGCCACUUCCUUCUCUCUGUCCCUGUGGGCCCAGCAGCUGCCAGGAUGAGGCUGCUGUGUGGCCUGUGGCUGUGGCUCUCCUUGCUGAAAGUCCUGCAGGCCCAGACCCCAACCCCCCCGCGACUCCCGCCCCCGAUGCAGAGCUUCCAAGGAAACCAGUUCCAGGGGGAAUGGUUCGUUCUGGGCCUGGUGGGCAACAGCUUCAGGCCGGAGCACAGGGUGCUGCUGAACGCUUUCGCCGCAACUUUCGAGCUAAGUGACGAUGGCCGCUUUGAGGUGUGGAAUGCCAUGACUCGAGGCCAGCACUGUGACACAUGGUCUUAUGUGCUGAUACCGGCAGCCCAGCACGGGCAGUUCACUGUGGACCACGGUGUGGAGCCCGGGGCGGACAGAGAGGAGACCCGGGUGGUGGACAGCGACUACACUCAGUUCGCCCUGAUGCUGUCCCGCAGACACACGAGCAGGCUGGCCGUCCUCAGGAUCAGCCUGCUUGGCAGGAGCUGGUUGCUGCCUCCCGGGACGCUGGACCAGUUCAUCUGCCUGGGCAGAGCUCAGGGCCUCUCGGAUGACAACAUUGUCUUCCCAGAUGUGACUGGUAACAUGGCUCACCUGCAGGCAUGCUGGGCAGUAGGCACGGGGCCCGCAGGAAUGAGUUUGGUUGACCCUAGAGGAGCUGGACCCAGUGUCUACCCAGGGAGCUCAGCCCCAGCCUGCGCUCAGGGGUUUCCAGGCUCCUGGGUCCCUGUGCUCAACCCAGGCUCUGAGCCACCUCCUGCCGCCCCGGGUCCCCUGUCCUGGGCCACCUCCUCCCACCCCGGGUCUCCUGUCCUGGGCCACCUCCUCUCACCCCAGGUCCCCUGUCCCGGGCCAUCUCCUCCCUCUGGGUCCCCUGUCCUGGGCCACCUCCUCCCUUCACCCAUCCCUGCUCACAAGGAGCUUGGACUCAUCCCAGGAGGUGCCCUGGACCUCAGCAGCCUGCCCUGGGUGGCAGCCCCAGCCUGACCACUCAGACAGCCGCGGCCCCCAAGGCCUGACUCUUCUUGUGGGAGGGCGAGGCUGGUCACCCCAGGCCAGCGUCUGUUGAAGGAUGAAGCAGCUCCUGUCCGGCCCAGCCCUGCCUCACAGCUGCGCGAGCUCUGCCCUCCUCAGCUCUCAAACCUGAAUAAAUGCACCAAGCCCAGA